CGAACGCUGGCGGCGUGCUUAACACAUGCAAGUCGAACGGAAAGACCCUGCUUUUGUGGGGUGCUCGAGUGGCGAACGGGUGAGUAACACGUGAGUAACCUGCCCUUGACUUUGGGAUAACUUCAGGAAACUGGGGCUAAUACCGGAUAGGAGCUCCUGCUGCAUGGUGGGGGUUGGAAAGUUUCGGCGGUUGGGGAUGGACUCGCGGCUUAUCAGCUUGUUGGUGGGGUAGUGGCUUACCAAGGCUUUGACGGGUAGCCGGCCUGAGAGGGUGACCGGCCACAUUGGGACUGAGAUACGGCCCAGACUCCUACGGGAGGCAGCAGUGGGGAAUAUUGCACAAUGGGCGGAAGCCUGAUGCAGCAACGCCGCGUGCGGGAUGACGGCCUUCGGGUUGUAAACCGCUUUCGCCUGUGACGAAGCGUGAGUGACGGUAAUGGGUAAAGAAGCACCGGCUAACUACGU
This 465-nucleotide ribosomal RNA is filed under the name uncultured bacterium. RNAcentral describes it as "partial 16S ribosomal RNA". It matches the Rfam family "Bacterial small subunit ribosomal RNA", at positions 30 to 506 of the family's 1533-position model. The record is from RNAcentral.